Molecule: ribosomal RNA, 471 nt
Filed under: uncultured bacterium
Lineage: Bacteria
Description: bacterial SSU rRNA
Rfam family: Bacterial small subunit ribosomal RNA
Source: RNAcentral
UCAGGAUGAACGCUGGACGGCGUGCCUAACACAUGCAAGUCGAGCGAUUCUCUUCGGAGAAGAGCGGCGGACGGGUGAGUAACGCGUGGGUAACCUGCCUCGUACACAUAGGAUAACAUACCGAAAGGUAUGCUAAUACAGGAUAAUAUAAGAGAUUCACAUGGAUUUCUUAUCAAAGCUCCGGCGGUAUGAGAUGGACCCGCGUCUGAUUAGGCUAGUUGGUAAGGUAACGGCUUACCAAGGCGACGAUCAGUAGCCGACCUGAGAGGGUGAUCGGCCACAUUGGAACUGAGACACGGUCCAAACUCCUACGGGAGGCAGCAGUGGGGAAUAUUGCACAAUGGGCGAAAGCCUGAUGCCAGCAACGCCGCGUGAGUGAUGAAGGCCUUCGGGUCGUAAAACUCUGUCCUCAAGGAAGAUAAUGACGGUACUUGAGGAGGAAGCCCCGGCUAACUACGUGCCAGCAGCCGC